ACAAAUGCAAUGACGGGACUGGAAUACAACCCGCCUUUUUUCAGAGAGCUGCCGGGCGCUGUGAGGCAGCAAAAGGCCUGUGUUCGAUCAUCCCUGAGCAGGCAGCUGAACCCAGUUUGGCAGUAGGUGCGCUCGGUUUCCCACCGUUAGAAAGGGAGUACAUUGUUGGAUGUACACAAGCGGCUGCAAAUGCAGCAAGUAGAGUGGUACCGCGGAAGUUCAGACUUUCGUCUCUAGU
This 238-nucleotide non-coding RNA is filed under the name [Clostridium] methylpentosum. RNAcentral describes it as "Clostridium methylpentosum T-box sequence". It matches the Rfam family "T-box leader". Rfam says of the family: Uncharged tRNA acts as the effector for transcription antitermination of genes in the T-box leader family. T-boxes are found upstream of many aminoacyl-tRNA synthetase genes and some amino acid biosynthetic genes usually in Gram-positive bacteria. Lineage: Bacteria; Bacillati; Bacillota; Clostridia; Eubacteriales; Oscillospiraceae. The record is from RNAcentral.